UCCUAAAGUGCUGGGAUUACAGGCGUGAGUCACCGCGCCCGGCCAGUCGAACUCUUUCUUCUGAGGAGGCAAGGAUUGAGAUUGCUGCAGAACAUAGGCAUUGGCCGUCAGUAAUAUACCGUGUGACUCAGAACCUCCCCCGCUUCUCCCUGCAUCAAGAGCUGGGGAGACGGCAGCGUGGGACUCGUGGGUAAUCCCCUGCAGCGGCCUGCCACUCCUCCCCCACUGCCUGGUCUGGGUGGGGCACAAGACUCAGGCCUAAGCCAAUCAGAGCCUUCCCUGGCUGCAGCAAUGGGUCUAAGGGCCCUCCCUCUGUGACCCUGGCCUUGGCCACCAGGCUUGCUUUGGCCAAUGAGAUGUGAGCAUACAGGACGCCAGUCAAAGCAUGAAAACUGCUUGCAAUAGCGCUUGUGUGUGCACCUGGACCUAUGUUGUAAGAAUGUGCCCCGUUUGGCCAUUGGAAGGACUUGGGACACCUGGGGGAGAACAGAGUCACCCCAGCUGCCAGCCAGCUCAGCCAGGACAUGCUGUACAAGCAUGGCACCAGCACCUGUUCAGCUUCUGGAGAAGCCUCAGGAGGCUUCCAAUUAUGGCAGAAGGCAAAAAGGAAGGAGGUGCAUCACGUGGCAAAAACAGGAGCAAGAGAGAGUGGGACAGAGGUGCCACAUGCUUUUAAACCAGAUCUG
This 686-nucleotide long non-coding RNA is filed under the name Homo sapiens (human). Its description in RNAcentral is "HSALNT0406362". The record is from RNAcentral. Lineage: Eukaryota; Metazoa; Chordata; Mammalia; Primates; Hominidae.